Caenorhabditis elegans is the source of this 1275-nucleotide non-coding RNA. Ensembl annotates it as ncRNA. Its record names the gene anr-54. NCBI's taxonomy places the organism in Eukaryota, Metazoa, Nematoda, Chromadorea, Rhabditida, Rhabditidae. The record is from Ensembl.
GCACACCUGCCUGCCUAACCACUUACGUGCCUACGGGUAUGCCUUUCCGAAAGUAACCACAGCUAAUUUAAUUGAAUUAUGAACAAGGUAUUUGAUGAAAAAAAAAAAAAAAAAAAGAUUAGAAAGACACAAAAUUUGAGACUAAAUGACGCUACCUAAAAGAACCAAGUAAGUUGAAAUUUUAGAGACAUUAUCUAUUAAAUGAUAAGAUACUUCAAAGUACACAUUUAUCUCGAAGGUUAUUUGAAAUAUGUCAUCAUACAGGGAGAGGGUUGUGACAAUAAUUUCGUAAUGAUUUAAUUCAAAAUUGCAACAUGUGAAACUAUAUGAAACAUGCGGUAAGAAAACAUAAUAAAGAUAUUUAAAGACAAACUGACAAUUUUUGUUUUGAACGGUGGACACGAGGCUCCGCCCUAUGGUAGAAACUGUCUUUCUUUCUGUCGUUUUGAAAUCGACCGAGAAAGUGAUGUCACUUUUAUGAGAGACAGAUGGAGACACAUAGAGACAGAGAGAGUGAGGGAAAAACUACAUGACAGUUGGAGACAGUACGGUCAUCGAGGAGACGCAGAGAGCACGAGUUACAUGGGAAACAUGGAAUUGGGUAGAUGGGAGAUACGUAAAAUGACUUUUGGAUUUUAUGGGUUGGACGUUUAUAAAAUAUUGUUGCAUCAAUCUUUGACAUGACAGGUGAACCGAUUUUACUGAUCUAGAGAAGGUGGGUGACGGUUUUGCAGCUGCACAUUUUAGGUCAAGACAUUUCAUUUUUCAAUUGUAGCUAUGGUAACUCAUUAAAACAAUAAAUUUCCUUUUCCUUUUUUAUCUUUAAAACAUAGAAGGCAAAUUUUGAUUCGAAUGACCGCGUACGGCUCAAUAGUGCGUUUUGUCAGUGUUUGUUCACUAGAAAGAUCAUAGAACCAGGCAGCCGGAAAAGGAGUUCUUUGAGAAAUUACGAUAAAAGUAGUAAAAAGCAACAAUAUGACUAAAAGUUUUGAAAUUUUCGCUUGACAUCACAAUUGUCAUCGCCACUGAGAAGAACAUUUCAAAACUUAACAACUGACUACAGAAUGACUAUAGAAUGACUAAAAUGCCAAGUUUAGGCAAUACAUUACGAAACUCUCUGGCUACCAGUUUUCUAGGCGACCUACACAAACCUUGUGCCUACACGUGUGACUAAUUCCAAAGGACCUAUUUUUAUUAAACUGAAUAUACCACAUUUUCUCUAUUUCAUUUUUUUUGGCUUGAAACUAAAAUUAAAUAAAUAAAAAGAAUCUGGAU